This 917-nucleotide ribosomal RNA is filed under the name uncultured archaeon. RNAcentral's name for it is "SSU rRNA". It matches the Rfam family "Archaeal small subunit ribosomal RNA", at positions 1 to 923 of the family's 1478-position model. The record is from RNAcentral.
UUUCCGGUUGAUCCCGCCGGACCUGACUGCUAUCGGAUUGAUACUAAGCCAUGCGAGUCUUUGCAGUAAUGCAAGGCAUACGGCUCAGUAACACGUAGUCAACCUACCCUAUGGACGAGAAUAAUCUCGGGAAACUGAGCAUAAUUCUUGAUAGAUCAUAAUGCCUGGAAUGGUUUAUGGUUAAAAUGAUUCGUCGCCAUAGGAUGGGACUGCGGCCUAUCAGCUUGUUGGUGAGGUAAUGGCCCACCAAGGCGAUUACAGGUACGGGCUCUGAGAGGAGAAGCCCGGAGAUGGGUACUGAGACACGGACCCAGGCCCUAUGGGGCGCAGCAGGCGAGAAAACUUUGCAAUGUGCGAAAGCACGACAAGGUUAAUCCGAGUGAUUUCUGCUAAAGAAAUCUUUUGCCAGUCGUAAAACCGCUGGUGAAUAAGGGGUGGGCAAGUUCUGGUGUCAGCCGCCGCGGUAAAACCAGCACCUCAAGUGGUCAGGAUGAUUAUUGGGCCUAAAGCAUCCGUAGCCGGCUUUGUAAGUUUUCGGUUAAAUCCAUGUGCUCAACGCAUGGGCUGCCGAAAAUACUGCAUAGCUAGGGAGUGGGAGAGGUAGACGGUACUCAGUAGGUAGGGGUAAAAUCCUUUGAUCUAUUGAUGACCACCUGUGGCGAAGGCGGUCUACCAGAACACGUUCGACGGUGAGGGAUGAAAGCUGGGGGAGCAAACCGGAUUAGAUACCCGGGUAGUCCCAGCUGUAAACGAUGCAGACUAGAUGAUGCAUUGGCAUAAUAGCCAUUGCAGUGUCUCAGGGAAGCCGUUAAGUCUGCCGCCUGGGAAGUACGUACGCAAGUAUGAAACUUAAAGGAAUUGGCGGGGGAGCACCACAAGGGGUGAAGCCUGCGGUUCAAUUGGAGUCAACGCCGGGA